GAUGAAGACGUAGCGAAAUGCGAUAAGUAAUGUGAAUUGCAGAAUUCAGUGAAUCAUCGAAUCUUUGAACGCAUCUUGCGCUCCUUGGUAUUCCGAGGAGCAUGCCUGUUUGAGUGUCAUUUAACUUCUCAACCACAUUGGAUAUUUUUUUUCCGAUGCCGGCUUGGAUGUGGGGGUUGUUUGCAGGCUUUUUGUAACAAAAAAGGUCGGCUCCCCUGAAAUGUAUUAGUGGUAUCUGAGGCUAUUACUAUUAGGUGUGAUAAUUAUCUAUGCCUUUUGGGUAUGCCGCAUGAACAGAUUAUGCUGCUUCUAACGAAAACUAUUUUGAUGAAUUUGACCUCAAAUCAGGUAGGACUACCCGCUGAACUUAAGCAUAUCAAUAAGCGGAGGA
RNAcentral lists this unclassified non-coding RNA (391 nucleotides) under soil metagenome. Its description in RNAcentral is "partial contains 5.8S ribosomal RNA, internal transcribed spacer 2, and large subunit ribosomal RNA". The stretch from base 1 to 119 matches the Rfam family "5.8S ribosomal RNA", at positions 35 to 154 of the family's 154-position model. The record is from RNAcentral.